Long non-coding RNA from Physeter macrocephalus (sperm whale), 1306 nucleotides. RefSeq lists it as uncharacterized. The transcript is spliced from 4 exons. The record is from RefSeq and is a predicted model, not a curated record. Lineage: Eukaryota; Metazoa; Chordata; Mammalia; Artiodactyla; Physeteridae.
GUGCUGGGUGCCAGGGAGCUGCAGCGAGGAAGGCAGAGCCCACCUCUGCUCUGGCCGAGCUGGGGUUCUUGAGAAGACACAGUCCAACGAGGGCCGGGCAGGUUGUGGGCCGGAUGAGCAGGGCUUUCCCAGCUUCAUGAGGAGCUCCCGACGCCUGCGCAACAGAGGAGGGAGAAUCAGUCUGUCGUUCACAGGGGCCUUUGUGCAAUAGCUGCCGUCAAAUGGAGGUGUGCAGCCACUGCGUCAGGUCCCACUCAGGGGUGGUCCUGAAAGACAGGAGUGAAGGGAGAGCCUCCCGGUGGUCCCAUUUUGGCCAGUCUGGUCGUCUGCUUUGCUUUGGAGGAGAGGUGGCUGGAGCUCCGGAUCUACACGGACUAAUGAGCAACGGGCAACAGACUGGCUGGCCGGUCGGGCGCCUCUAGUGGUCAAGACCAGGAAGUCUGGGAAAGAGGCCCAUGGACGGAAGUCCCAGAAGGAGCACCAGGUGAAGACACAAAGGUGUCGUGAGGCUGACCCUGACAGACUGCAUCAUCCGGACUCCCUCACCUUCCGGCUUCUAGUUGGACGUGGCCAGUGGAAGCGCUGCGGGACAUCAGAGUCAAGUUCCGAGCAGGAAGAAACUUUCUGGUUCAUUUUAUUCAUUGCUGUAUCCUAGUCCCCGAAACAACACCAGGCAUACAGUAAGCUCUCAACUCCUACUCGUCGAAUGAAUGAAAGAACAGUAGAGCUGUGAAGAGAAUUCCCAAGAUUAAUGUGAAGGGAGAUUCCGGGAUGACAGCUGUGGAUCCAGGUGGCACAGGUCAGAAGGCUCCAGAAGAGCCAUUAGAGCCUGAAUGCCCUGAGAAGAGGUCUAGAUAGUCUGCAGAGCUUUGGGGUUGAUUUGAUAAGUACAUGGAAAACUAAGCAAACAAACAAACAAGCUUUUUUUUUAAAAAAAAGGUAAUCAUUGGUGUGGUGCAUCCACACAAUGGAAUAUUAUUCUAAAAAGAAAUGAGCUAUCAAGCCACAAGGAGACAUAAAAGGAGGAGCCUUAAAUGCAUAUUUCGAAGUGAAAGAAGCCAAUCUGAAAAAGCUACAUCCUGUCUGAUUCUAACUGUAUGACAUUCUGAAAAAGGCAAAGCUAUGGAAACAGUUAAAGAUCAGUGGUUGCCAGGGGUUAGGAGAGGGAAAGAUGGACAGCACGGAGGAUUUUAGGCAGUGAAACUACUCUGGGUGAUACCAUAAUGCCGGAUACAGGUCCUUAUACAUUUAUCCAGACCCAGAGAAUGUACACCACCAAGAGUGAACCCUCAUGUAAACUAUGGAC